This 2144-nucleotide long non-coding RNA is filed under the name Marmota monax (woodchuck). The record is from RNAcentral. Lineage: Eukaryota; Metazoa; Chordata; Mammalia; Rodentia; Sciuridae.
GGGACUUCAGGGACACUGUGUAAAAUACAUGCAUAUAGGAUAAGAGGUGGUCAAGCAGGGUUGGUAAGAGCCAGAAUUUGAAAGUCAUAGUAUGUAGAUUCAAGUCUCAGUUCUAUCACUUAUUGCUGUGUAGAUCUUGAUUUUCUUAACUUCUUGGGAAUUCAGUUUCCUUCUUUAUAAAAUGGAGUUAUAAAUGGAGUUACGUACCUCAGAGUUAUUGAGGAGAUUUUUUAGGUUAGUACACAUAAAAGUACUUUAGAACAAUACCUGGCAUUGCUUUUGAGGGAAGCUUCCUGCAUCUUAGGACAGAUGAGCAGGUUUGGAAUCAUAGUCUUACUAAUCUAUAUGGCAUUUUGAAGCUUUGAGUUGUGUUUUCUGAGAUCUCAGCACUUGUUUCUAGAAGUAGAGGAUGGUAUGAUGACACCCUCCUUAUAUUCAACUUUGAUAAAGGAGAAAAUGAAUUAUUUGUAGUACUACCAUUUUAAUGACAAUUUACUUGUUACUUUUCAGUCUUGGUCCACUCAUACAUUUUAAGUCAUUUACAAUUAUGCAAUCAAAAUACUCAUCUAUAGCUGUGGUGCCCUUCCUGGAUUGCCACUGGACAGGGCAGAUGUGGGAGCCUAGGAGGCUGUCAUGUCCUCACUGAGUGCUUUCCCCAGGAGCUAAUCUUGCUCUAGAUCACACCCAGGUGCUAGUGGGUAGCUCACAUCCAGGGGGUGGGCUGCAGGGAGUGAUUAAAGGACAGACCCUGUUGUCUGAAGUCAGCCAUCCUGGCUUCAGGCUCUCUGUGAAAUUGGCUGGAACUCGUCUCAACAAAUUGGCAUGGGGAUUCAACUCUCCCCCUGCCUAGUGCUGAUUCUCUUGCUUCCUCACAGGGGAAAUUCUCAAGAAUAUUAUACCCCUGCUGCCUACCCCUUGAAUUGAAUCUCAGAGUUUCACAGCCUGUUUCUCAGGGAAUCCUGUCUAUGACCAUGUCUGUCUCUUUCAUCACCAUUUCUCUGAAGACUGGUGAUGUUGGCUGGAGUAUAUGGCAUAAUGUAACCAUUAUCUUAAGGCUUUAGCCACUGAUUCCUGGUCUCAACCUGUAGCAAUUUUGUCCCCUGGAGACAUCUGACAAUGUUUGGAGACAUUUUUCUUUUUCACAACUGGUAGGUAGACACCAAGGAUGCUGCUAAAUAUCCCACAAUGUAUAAGCUGAUACCCCAUGACAAAGAAGUAUCCUUCCCCAAAUGCUAAUCAUGCCACGCUUGAGAAACCCUGCUUUAGAGUCAGCUAGUUGUGUUCUAAUUUGCUGAAUUCCCUUGGGCAAGUGAUUUACUUUAUUUCAGCCUCAGGGUUGUUGGUUUUUUUUUUUUUAAGUAUUUGUUCUGAUUAGUUUUACAUGAUGGUAGAAUACAUUUUGACACAUCAUACAUAAACGGAGUAUAACUUCUCAUUUAUCUGGUUGUACAUGAUGGAGAGUCACACAGGUCAUGUAAUCAUAUAUGCACAUAGGGUAAUAAUGUCUGAUUCAACUAUCCUUCCAACCCCCAUACCUGCUUCCCCUCCUUUCACUCCCCUCUGCCUAGUCCAAAUUACCUUUAUCCCCACUCCAUCCUUAUUGUGAAUCAGCAUCCGCAUAUCAGAGAAAACAUUUGGCCUUUGAUUCUUUGGGAUUUACCCUCAGUUUUCAUGUAUAAAAAUACAGGCAAUGAUAGUACCUGUGUCACAGGAUUGUGAAACCAAAUUUAGUUCACACAAAGAGGUGGUGUUGUGCCUGUUGCAAAGUAAGCAUUCCAAAAAACGGUAGCUACCAUCCUCAUUGUUAUGUUUUAAAGCCAUCAUUUUAAUGACAGCAUAAUAUCCUACUGAGUUGAUGUAAUAUUUCAUUCAUUCACCUAUUGCCAUCUAGCGAGUUUCAGUUUUCAAUACUGCUGCAAUAAACAUGUCCAUCAUACAUCUUGUUGUAAAGAGCAAAGCAUGGAUUCUAGUUCUGACUCUGCUUGGUCUUGUGACAUUAGGCUGUCAGUCUCUUUGAGCCUUCUUCAUUUGCUCAUGUGUAAGUGGGAACGGUAGACCUUUUCAUGAGAAGCGAUUCUGAACAUACUAUGAAUUAGCAAUGAAAUCUACAUGAGUUCAAGUCCCAGAACCACCUUUGACCACUU